ACCGUAGCAGCAGAUGGUAAUGUAUCCAACUUUCACUAAGUCCAAUCUGCUUAACUAGAACAUUGAACUGAUUGUGUAUGUGUGUGUGUGUGGCAUAACAGGAUGUGGUCAUGAGUUCUGCACUAACUGUGCGUUAUACCUAAGCACCACAAACAUAACAUCCUCAAAGACAUCACAAGCCACACCAGGCUCAGUCCCAUGUCCUCUCUGUCGCUACGGCAUUGUCUCUUUCACCAAACUCCCCCAUACGAUACCAACAACAACAGCAACAUCAUCAAGAACAAGCAUCUCCUUGUCCUUCUGCACUUGCUCCUCCUCUGAUGUCUUGGAUACAGGAGCUCUCCUCACCGACCCUCACUACAGCUGUAAACCGGUUGUUUCAAGAACCGGUUCACAAUCCGUUGGGUCAUCGUCCUUUCGGUCUCUUAGCUGCCGGUUUCCUCCAAGUCUCUGCCUCGGUGGCUCGGAUGUUGACGAACCCCAAAGAUAUUCCAAAAAGGUGUGACCUUUAUGGUGAUGAUGAUGAUGAUGAUCCUAAGUUUGGUUUUGUUUAUUAUUGUUAUGUCUUAGAUAGUUUCUUUGUUGGUGGAGGAAGGAGUUGAUAUCAAUCUCCGGAACUAUCGUGGACAGGUAACAGCUGUCUCCUUUACAUUGUCUUUAUCGACCAUCAAAGUUAGCUGAGUACAAGAAUGUUUGAAACAGACGGCUUUGAUGCAAGCUUGUCAACAUGGUCAUUGGGAGGUUGUCUUGAUUCUCAUCCUCUUUGGUGCUAAUGUAAGCAUUUGAUCCAACUCUUAGACGAGAUUCUUCUGCAAGAUUGAGAUAAUGAUUGUGUUUUUUUUUUUUGUUUAAUUCAGAUUCACAGAUCAGAUUACCUUAACGGUGGUACUGCUCUGCAUCUCGCGGCUCUAAAUGGUCACCCUCGGUGUAUCAGGAUCUUGCUUUCCGAGUAUAUACCAAGUGUCCCUAACUGCUGGAGCCUCUUGAAGAAUAGUAAAUCCUCUGUUUCUGGAUUUGAUCCAAGGUUAUAAAGUGUUUCAGAGAGUUUAAUAAGCUCAAAUGGCUUUUAGUGACAUGAUCGUUAGUGUUUUUGUAAAAUGUGUGCAGUGUUAUUCAAGAAGUGAUAAACAGAGCAGCAGAUGGAGGAAUCACACCUCUUCAUGUAGCGGCUCUGAACGGACACGUAGAGACGGUGCAGUUACUCUUGGAUUUGGGAGCUUCACUUACUCAGGUUACUGUGGAAGAUGGAACCACAAUAGAUCUCAUAGGUGCUGGGAGUACUCCUCUCCAUUAUGCUUCAUGUGGCGGAAACACCCAGUGUUGCCAGGUACAUAUUCAUAUAUACUUGCUUAACCAGACCAUCAUGAUGCCAAACAAUAAUUUAAACUCAGAUAUGAAUACGUAUGGCAUUUGUUUUUCUCAGCUUUUGAUCGAUAAGGGUGCCUCUUUAGCUGCCAUUAACUCUAACGGGUUAGAUGUUCUCUUUGUUUCUCUGCCUGCAAAACCUAAUCCAGUUAGAUAUAAACUGCAGUGUCUUUAUCCGUUUGGUGUUUCUUGGUUUUAGAUGGACGCCAUUGAUGGUUGCUCGCUCAUGGCACCGGAACUGUCUUGAAGAAGUCCUGAACCCAACCACAGAGCAGCCACUAAGCCAACUGCCAAAAGUCCCUUCUCCUUUCCUCUGCCUUCCUCUAAUGAGCAUUGUCAAGAUUGCUCAGUAAGUAAACAUCUUAAACCUAACUGAAACACUCAAUGUGAUCAAAGAGUCUCUGGGAUUUUGAUUAUGUUUGUGGGUUUCAGAGAAUGUGGCUGGAGAGGAGAUGACUGUCUCACUCCAUGCCGUGACCCUUGCGCUGUUUGUCUGGAAAGAAAGUGCACCGUAGCAGCAGAUGGUAAUGUAUCCAACUUUCACUAAGUCCAAUCUGCUUAACUAGAACAUUGAACUGAUUGUGUAUGUGUGUGUGUGUGGCAUAACAGGAUGUGGUCAUGAGUUCUGCACUAACUGUGCGUUAUACCUAAGCACCACAAACAUAACAUCCUCAAAGACAUCACAAGCCACACCAGGCUCAGUCCCAUGUCCUCUCUGUCGCUACGGCAUUGUCUCUUUCACCAAACUCCCCCAUACGAUACCAACAACAACAGCAACAUCAUCAAGAACAAGC
This 2159-nucleotide long non-coding RNA is filed under the name Brassica napus (rape). RNAcentral describes it as "long non-coding RNA (BNAP_LNC001201)". The record is from RNAcentral. Lineage: Eukaryota; Viridiplantae; Streptophyta; Magnoliopsida; Brassicales; Brassicaceae.